AGCCUAGUUGGUAAAGUGCAUGUUUCUGAUGCAUUUGGCCCCGAGUUCGAUUCUUGGCA
RNAcentral lists this transfer RNA (59 nucleotides) under Oxyrrhis marina. The record is from RNAcentral. Lineage: Eukaryota; Dinophyceae; Oxyrrhinales; Oxyrrhinaceae.